Molecule: ribosomal RNA, 304 nt
Filed under: uncultured bacterium
Lineage: Bacteria
Description: bacterial SSU rRNA
Rfam family: Bacterial small subunit ribosomal RNA
Source: RNAcentral
GAUGAACGCUGGCGGCGUGCCUAACACAUGCAAGUCGAACGGGAAGCUCACUUCGGUGAGUGGAGAGUGGCGAACGGGUGAGUAACGCGUAGCUAACCUGCCCUCAAGAGUGGGAUAACUACUGGAAACAGUAGCUAAUACCACAUAAGCUUACGGACUGUAGAGGUUUGUAAGAAAAAGCUUUAGCGCUUGGGGAUGGGGCUGCGAACCAUCAGCUAGAUGGUGGGGUAAGAGCCUACCAUGGCAACGACGGUUAGGGGACCUGAGAGGGUGACCCCCACACUGGAACUGAGACACGGUCCAG